CGGANAGAGCNCGUGAAUCCGGGCCGGCGANUUCAGGACCGAUAGGCGUGCCUCUCGCGGGUGCUGCCUGUCGGUUUGAUGUUUCGUCGGCCGUAUUUAAUUCGGACGUUGCGACCCGUUUGGUGCUGGUUUUCACGAGGGCUAGCGUCUAGUUCGUCAGUUUGAUUCGUCUCGGCGAAUUAGUUUGGCGAUACGUUAGUUCCGAGCUAGCUAGCCCGACGGUAUGAUAACGGUGUCCGGCGGCGGCGGCGGCGCGAGGACUCCGGUCCUCAGUCGUCGUCGUCGUCGGUACCGGUCGGUAACGAUUAUUCGGGCCUCUUUCCGACCCGUCUUGAAACACGGACCAAGGAGUCUAACGUGUGCGCGAGUCAUAGGGUGUCGCCGACUGGCGUGCGCUUCGGCGUACAUCAGUCGGCGUUAUACAAACGAAACCCGACCAGGCGUAAUGAAAGUAAUUUUUGCGCUAGUCGCAAUCGGGAAGAUAGCGUUCCGAGUACACGUUCUAGACACUCGAUCUAGACCGGACGCUCGCAUUCCCGGGGCGUUCCUUCAGUCCGGCGGUGUGCUACUUCGGUGGCGCGCCGUCGAACUGGGGCGCACUCGUAGCGUACACGUUGGUACCCGAAAGAUGGUGAACUAUGCCCGGCCAGGAUGAAGUCAGGGGAAACCCUGAUGGAGGUCCGCAGCGAUNCUGACGUGCAAAUCGAUCGUCU
Molecule: ribosomal RNA, 713 nt
Filed under: Crypticerya townsendi
Lineage: Eukaryota; Metazoa; Arthropoda; Insecta; Hemiptera; Monophlebidae
Description: eukaryotic LSU rRNA
Rfam family: Eukaryotic large subunit ribosomal RNA
Source: RNAcentral